GUGCUUGUGGUGUAGUGGUUAUCACAUCCGCCUAACACGCGGAAGGUCCCAGGUUCAAUUCCUGGCAGGCACA
This 73-nucleotide transfer RNA is filed under the name Rhipicephalus microplus (southern cattle tick). Its description in RNAcentral is "tRNA-Val". It matches the Rfam family "tRNA". From Rfam's summary of the family: Transfer RNA (tRNA) molecules are approximately 80 nucleotides in length. Their secondary structure includes four short double-helical elements and three loops (D, anti-codon, and T loops). Lineage: Eukaryota; Metazoa; Arthropoda; Arachnida; Ixodida; Ixodidae. The record is from Rfam by way of RNAcentral.